RNAcentral lists this unclassified non-coding RNA (198 nucleotides) under uncultured fungus. RNAcentral describes it as "sequence contains ITS1, 5.8S rRNA gene". Lineage: Eukaryota; Fungi. The record is from RNAcentral.
GAGUAUUGAGUCUGGGACAGCCCCGGGAGCGCUUUCGAGCGUGACUUGGUUCUGGCUGUCCACCUCACCGUACAUCUGAUCCAAACCCCUGUGCACUAGCUCUGUCCCGCCCAGUGUGCGGACAGAACGGAACAAACACUUUUUGAAGUAAGAAUGGACGUUUUGUUGUUGGAUCAUAACGACCAACGAAGACAAAUA